RNAcentral lists this ribosomal RNA (796 nucleotides) under uncultured Glomeromycotina. RNAcentral's name for it is "SSU rRNA". It matches the Rfam family "Eukaryotic small subunit ribosomal RNA", at positions 314 to 1114 of the family's 1831-position model. The record is from RNAcentral. Lineage: Eukaryota; Fungi; Glomeromycota.
AUCAACUUUCGAUGGUAGGAUAGAGGCCUACCAUGGUGGUAACGGGUAACGGGGUGUUAGGGCACGACACCGGAGAGGGAGCCUGAGAAACGGCUACCACAUCCAAGGAUGGCAGCAGGCGCGCAAAUUACCCAAUCCCGACACGGGGAGGUAGUGACAAUAAAUAACAAUACGGGGUCCUUUCGGGUUUCGUAAUUGGAAUGAGUACAAUUUAAAUCUCUUAACGAGGAACAAUUGGAGGGCAAGUCUGGUGCCAGCAGCCGCGGUAAUUCCAGCUCCAAUAGCGUAUAUUAAAGUUGUUGCAGUUAAAAAGCUCGUAGUUGAAUUUCGGGAUUAGUACGUUGGUCGUGCCUUCGGUACGUACUGGUGUUACUGAUUCCUACCUUCUGACGAACCAUCAUGUCAUUAAUUUGGUGUGGUGGGAAAUCAGGACUGUUACUUUGAAAAAAUUAGAGUGUUUAAAGCAGGCUCGCGCUUGAAUACAUUAGCAUGGAAUAAUGAAAUAGGACGUUGACCCUAUUUUGUUGGUUUCUAGGAUUGACGUAAUGAUUAAUAGGGAUAGUUGGGGGCAUUAGUAUUCAAUUGUCAGAGGUGAAAUUCUUGGAUUUAUUGAAGACUAACUACUGCGAAAGCAUUUGCCAAGGAUGUUUUUAUUAAUCAAGAACGAAAGUUAGGGGAUCGAAGACGAUCAGAUACCGUCGUAGUCUUAACCAUAAACUAUGCCGACUAGGGAUCGGAUGAUGUUAUUUUUAAUGACUCAUUCGGCGCCUUACGGGAAACCAAAGUGUUUGGGUUC